UCCCUGGUGGCUCAGAGGGUAAAGCAUCUGCCUACAAUGCAGGAGACCCGGGUUUGAUCCCUGGGAUGGGAA
This 72-nucleotide transfer RNA is filed under the name Bos taurus (domestic cattle). It matches the Rfam family "tRNA". Rfam says of the family: Transfer RNA (tRNA) molecules are approximately 80 nucleotides in length. RNAcentral also lists the same sequence under 1 other name. The record is from Rfam by way of RNAcentral. Lineage: Eukaryota; Metazoa; Chordata; Mammalia; Artiodactyla; Bovidae.